AGGAAAAGACAUCAACAGAGAUUCCCGUAGUAGUGGCGAGCGAACCGGGACCAGGCCAGUGCCUUUUAGUCAACUAACAGAACACUUUGGAAAGAGUGGCCAUAGUGGGUGACAGCCCCGUAUGUGAAAGUGAUCUAAAAGGACUUGAGUAGGGCGGGACACGUGAAAUCCUGUCUGAACGUGGGGGGACCACCCUCCAAGCCUAAGUACU
Molecule: ribosomal RNA, 211 nt
Filed under: Oxyrrhis marina
Lineage: Eukaryota; Dinophyceae; Oxyrrhinales; Oxyrrhinaceae
Description: partial Bacterial large subunit ribosomal RNA
Rfam family: Bacterial large subunit ribosomal RNA
Source: RNAcentral